Molecule: non-coding RNA, 219 nt
Organism: Paramuricea clavata
Lineage: Eukaryota; Metazoa; Cnidaria; Anthozoa; Malacalcyonacea; Plexauridae
Source: the annotation of a GenBank genome assembly
GAAGUUUUCUAGAUUAUUGAAAAGAAAUUUAUGGGUACAAGAUAUGGGGCAGAAACAGUUAAAUUAAGCAAGAUAUAUGCAAGUAACAAUGAACAAGACCAGAUCACUGGAUGGUAUUUCAGCACACUGGUGGACAUUCAACUUAAUACCUGCAACCUGUGUCACAUUUAUAUAGUUUGUAGAGAUUCAAAAUGUACACUACAUGGUUUAUUCAAUCAC